This 337-nucleotide unclassified non-coding RNA is filed under the name soil metagenome. RNAcentral describes it as "partial contains 5.8S ribosomal RNA, internal transcribed spacer 2, and large subunit ribosomal RNA". The stretch from base 1 to 120 matches the Rfam family "5.8S ribosomal RNA", at positions 35 to 154 of the family's 154-position model. The record is from RNAcentral.
GAUGAAGAACGUAGCGAAAUGCGAUAAGUAGUGUGAAUUGCAGAAUUCAGUGAAUCAUCGAAUCUUUGCACGCACAUUGCGCCCCAUGGUAUUCCGUGGGGCAUGCCUGUUCGAGCGUCAUUUACCCCCUCAAGCUCCGCUUGGUGUUGGGCGUCUGUCCCGCUUCGCGCGCGGACUCGCCCCAAAGGUAUUGGCAGCGGUCGUGCCAGCUUCUCGCGCAGCACAUUGCGCUUCUCGAGGCACCGGUGGGCCCGCGUCCAUCAAGCUCACCCCCCCAGUUUGACCUCGGAUCAGGUAGGGAUACCCGCUGAACUUAAGCAUAUCAAUAAGCGGAGGA